CAGAAAUUCAGAAAGAGAACUUGGCUGCAUGAGUUUCAAAAAGGAAAAGCCAGGCAGCAACAACUGCACGAAAAUACCCUCUAUCAACUAGAACACUAGAACCUUCCAUUCUUGAUAUAAAUUACAAAAACUCGUCUCUAAUCCAAGUUGUGCAUGGCUCCAUAGCAGGCAAUAUCAUGUACAUAGUUAACCUCUAAAAUGAAGACAUGUCAGGACAGAUACACCAAAGAAUUGUGUCAACUUUAUGUCCCCUAAUGGCACGAGCUGUCCAAUGCAGCCAAAAAGAU
RNAcentral lists this unclassified non-coding RNA (287 nucleotides) under Hevea brasiliensis (rubber tree). Lineage: Eukaryota; Viridiplantae; Streptophyta; Magnoliopsida; Malpighiales; Euphorbiaceae. The record is from RNAcentral.